This 252-nucleotide ribosomal RNA is filed under the name uncultured bacterium. RNAcentral's name for it is "partial 16S ribosomal RNA". It matches the Rfam family "Bacterial small subunit ribosomal RNA", at positions 524 to 776 of the family's 1533-position model. The record is from RNAcentral.
GACGAAGGGGCUAGCGUUGUUCGGAAUUACUGGGCGUAAAGCGCGUGUAGGCGGUUGUCCAAGUCGGGUGUGAAAGCCUUGAGCUCAACUCAAGAAAUGCACUCGAUACUGGGCGACUAGAGUGCCGGAGAGGAUAGUGGAAUUCCCAGUGUAGUGGUGAAAUACGUAGAGAUUGGGAAGAACACCAGUGGCGAAGGCGGCUAUCUGGACGGUUACUGACGCUAAGACGCGAAAGCGUGGGGAGCAAACAGG